This 461-nucleotide ribosomal RNA is filed under the name uncultured bacterium. RNAcentral describes it as "partial 16S ribosomal RNA". It matches the Rfam family "Bacterial small subunit ribosomal RNA", at positions 338 to 795 of the family's 1533-position model. The record is from RNAcentral.
CCUACGGGAGGCAGCAGUGAGGAAUAUUGGUCAAUGGGCGAGAGCCUGAACCAGCCAAGUCGCGUGAAGGAUGACGGCCCUACGGGUUGUAAACUUCUUUUGUCAGGGAGCAAUUGAGUCCACGUGUGGUCUUAGCGAGAGUACCUGAAGAAACAGCAUCGGCUAACUACGUGCCAGCAGCAGCGGUAAUACGUAGGGGGCAAGCGUUAUCCGGAUUUACUGGGUGUAAGGGGCGUGUAGGCGGGGACGCAAGUCAGAUGUGAAAACCACGGGCUCAACCUGUGGCCUGCAUUUGAAACUGUGUGUCUUGAGUACUGGAGAGGCAGACGGAAUUCCUAGUGUAGCGGUGAAAUGCGUAGAUAUUAGGAGGAACACCAGUGGCGAAGGCGGUCUGCUGGACAGCAACUGACGCUGAGGCGCGAAAGCGUGGGGAGCAAACAGGAUUAGAUACCCGGGUAGUC